CAGCAGCCGCGGGAAUACGUAGGGUGCGAGCGUUAAUCGGAAUUACUGGGCGUAAAGCGUGCGCAGGCGGUGAUGUAAGACAGAUGUGAAAUCCCCGGGCUCAACCUGGGAACUGCAUUUGUGACUGGCAAGCUAGAGUGUGGCAGAGGGGGGUGGAAUUCCGCGUGUAGCAGUGAAAUGCGCAGAUAUGCGGAGGAAUACCGAUGGCGAAGGCAGCCCCCUGGGCCAACACUGACGCUCAUGCACGAAAGCGUGGGGAGCAAACAGGAUUAGAUACCCCCGUAGUCCCUGUCUCUUAUAC
Molecule: ribosomal RNA, 301 nt
Filed under: uncultured bacterium
Lineage: Bacteria
Description: partial 16S ribosomal RNA
Rfam family: Bacterial small subunit ribosomal RNA
Source: RNAcentral